This 206-nucleotide long non-coding RNA is filed under the name Salvia miltiorrhiza (redroot sage). Its description in RNAcentral is "long non-coding RNA (SMIL_LNC008803)". The record is from RNAcentral. Lineage: Eukaryota; Viridiplantae; Streptophyta; Magnoliopsida; Lamiales; Lamiaceae.
CUUCAUUAAUUUUGUUGGAGAUAUUGUUGAGAAGGGGUACAUUCGCAUGAAGAAAGGAAUGCAACUAACGCAUUGCCAACAUCUAAGUUUGGCUACUGAUGUCUCAAGAUUAAGGUAACAGGCUUUUUGGCCUGGUUCCUUUGUGGAACAUUUCGGAGGUGAAAAGUGAUUACUGUCGUCAGUUUUAAUUUGAUCUUAAAUAAACC